UACGUAGGGGGCAAGCGUUGUCCGGAUUUACUGGGCGUAAAGCGCGCGUAGGCGGAUGCCUAAGUGUAGCCUGAAAGCCCCCGGCUCAACCGGGGAUCCGGGUUGCAAACUGGGCGUCUUGAGGGCGAUAGGGGAGUGCGGAAUUCUCGGUGUAGCGGUGAAAUGCGUAGAGAUCGGGAGGAACGCCCAAGGCGAAGGCAGCACUCUGGGUCGACCCUGACGCUGAGGCGCGAAAGCGUGGGGAGCGAACGGGAUUAGAUACCCCGGUAGUCCACGCCGUAAACGAUGGUCACUAGGUGUGUGCGGUAUCGACCCCGCACGUGCCGCAGCUAACGCAAUAAGUGACCCGCCUGGGGAGUACGGCCGCAAGGUUG
Molecule: ribosomal RNA, 374 nt
Filed under: uncultured prokaryote
Description: bacterial SSU rRNA
Rfam family: Bacterial small subunit ribosomal RNA
Source: RNAcentral